CCACUGUCUUUAUUUGCACAAAGCAUUGAGUGAUCAUCUAACUAAUCACAUUUUGUUGUAACAAGUUAUGCAAUCUUAAUCUAAUUUAUUUGUUCAGGACUGUGUUGCACAAACUCAGAAAAUUGGUGGAUUUAGUCAUCAUGGAUUAGCACAUUGUGCAAGUAACCAAAGAAACUGCCCAUCUCCCUUACAAAAAGACUUUCUGAGGAAAUAUGCUGGGGUACCAUCAAAAUAAAAAUAAGUAUCUCAUGAUC
Long non-coding RNA from Pantherophis guttatus, 254 nucleotides. RefSeq lists it as uncharacterized. The record is from RefSeq and is a predicted model, not a curated record. NCBI's taxonomy places the organism in Eukaryota, Metazoa, Chordata, Lepidosauria, Squamata, Colubridae.